AAAACAUAGUUUUGAGAUGUUGAUUAUUCAAAAUUUUCCCUGCCCACUGAGUUUUAUAUAUUUAAAUGGCCGCAGUACUUUGACUGUGCUAAGGUAGCAUAAUAAUUUGGCUUUUAAUUGAAGUCGAGAAUGAACGGGACUUUAAUCAGGAUCUGUCUCAAUUAUAGAUUUAAAAAAAUUACUGAUUAGGUGAAAAUUCCUAAAUUUUAUUUUAAUAGACGAGAAGACCCUUAGAGUUUUUAUUAAUUAAGUACAUAAUCUAAUAUAUUUGAAUCUUUUCUAAUUCUCUUAUAAUUCUACCUUAUAAAUUUUUGUUGGGGCAACAAAUAAACAUAACAUGAAAACUUUAUUAAUCAGAUGUAUCAGUAAUUGUACACAUAUAAUCUCAUAAGACAAAAUUAAUUUUUUUGAAUAAAUUAAGACUACCUAAGGGAUAACAGCAUAAUUUAAAAUAUAAGAUUAUGACCUCGAUGUUGGAUUAGGGCCUAACUAGGUUAACCACUUAGAAAGAAGUGUUCUGUUCGAACAAAUAUCUCUCCUACAUGAUC
This 548-nucleotide ribosomal RNA is filed under the name Helicodiscus barri. Its description in RNAcentral is "partial large subunit ribosomal RNA". The stretch from base 1 to 203 matches the Rfam family "Archaeal large subunit ribosomal RNA", at positions 1902 to 2143 of the family's 2987-position model. The record is from RNAcentral. Lineage: Eukaryota; Metazoa; Mollusca; Gastropoda; Stylommatophora; Helicodiscidae.